This 471-nucleotide ribosomal RNA is filed under the name uncultured bacterium. RNAcentral describes it as "bacterial SSU rRNA". It matches the Rfam family "Bacterial small subunit ribosomal RNA", at positions 330 to 793 of the family's 1533-position model. The record is from RNAcentral.
UCCAGACUCCUACGGGAGGCAGCAGUGGGGAAUAUUGCACAAUGGGCACAAGCCUGAUGCAGCCAUGCCGCGUGUAUGAAGAAGGCCUUCGGGUUGUAAAGUACUUUCAGCGGGGAGGAAGGUGUUGUGGUUAAUAACCACAGCAAUUGACGUUACCCGCAGAAGAAGCACCGGCUAACUCCGUGCCAGCAGCCGCGGUAAUACGGAGGGUGCAAGCGUUAAUCGGAAUUACUGGGCGUAAAGCGCACGCAGGCGGUCUGUCAAGUCGGAUGUGAAAUCCCCGGGCUCAACCUGGGAACUGCAUUCGAAACUGGCAGGCUGGAGUCUUGUAGAGGGGGGUAGAAUUCCAGGUGUAGCGGUGAAAUGCGUAGAGAUCUGGAGGAAUACCGGUGGCGAAGGCGGCCCCCUGGACAAAGACUGACGCUCAGGUGCGAAAGCGUGGGGAGCAAACAGGAUUAGAUACCCGGGUAU